CAGUAGCCGCGGUAAUACGGAGGAUCUAAGCGUUAUCCGGAAUCAUUGGGUUUAAAGGGUCCGUAGGCGGUCUUGUAAGUCAGUGGUGAAAGCCCAUCGCUCAACGGUGGAACGGCCAUUGAUACUGCAGGACUUGAAUUAUUGGGAAGUAACUAGAAUAUGUAGUGUAGCGGUGAAAUGCUUAGAGAUUACAUGGAAUACCAAUUGCGAAGGCAGGUUACUACCAAUUGAUUGACGCUGAUGGACGAAAGCGUGGGUAGCGAACAGGAUUAGAUACCCCCGUAGUCCCUGUCUCUUAUAC
RNAcentral lists this ribosomal RNA (301 nucleotides) under uncultured bacterium. Its description in RNAcentral is "partial 16S ribosomal RNA". It matches the Rfam family "Bacterial small subunit ribosomal RNA", at positions 509 to 807 of the family's 1533-position model. The record is from RNAcentral.